Molecule: long non-coding RNA, 990 nt
Organism: Populus nigra (black poplar)
Lineage: Eukaryota; Viridiplantae; Streptophyta; Magnoliopsida; Malpighiales; Salicaceae
Exons: 2
Source: RefSeq, a predicted model, not a curated record
GCCAACAGUCCUGACUCUUCUCAGAGACAGGAGCGAACGUGCCCCCAUGAUCUCGAGGCACGAACGCACGAACAGAGGCCAUUAGAUGGCUUUAUAAAAGCCAGAGAAGGCCACGAACCAGUGGGGAGAGAACCAGAGAAACACUAAGAGGGAAAGAAUAGACAGAGACUACCAGAGAAAGACGAACAAAAAAAGCAGAGAACAACACAAAGAAAAACAGAGAGCACGAACGGAAAUAAAGAAAGAAAGGACUGACUAAAAAAAGAGAAAGGAGGAGAGAGCAAAAAGCCAGCGCUCCCAGCUUUGCCUUCGUCCCCAGAACGCAAGCAAAGUGAAUAAGGGAAAACAGAGAAACUGCAAGUAUUGAUCAGCCUGGGCAUUCGUCUCCAGCUUCACCACUCCGAACCAUCAGAAACAGAAAGAAUAAAGCUAGAGGAACAAAGGGAAGGUUGAAACGGGUGCCCGGCUAGUGUCACCCGAUCACACAGAAAGAGCUUCACUAUCGUCUUCAUCGCCUCCAGUAGACCAGUAUGAAAGCUGCAAUUGUUAAUGGUCGACACAGACGCAGAUGGUAGUUGUCAGUUAUGAGGAUGGUGAUGGUUGGGCUUGUGUGGCUACUGUGGAAGAAGGAGAAGCAUAGACCUGGUGGUGAGCUGGAGGAGUUCACGGUGCUGUGUUGCCAAGAAGAACAGCUGCAAUGAAGAUAGUGUGGUUCGGUCUGGUACACUAUGAAAGAGGGGCUGUUGAAUUCACCGUGAGGAGGAAAAUGGAGGAAGAGCUGAGUAAUGGUCCUUUUUUUUUUGGAUGGAGGCUGUAUGAUGGCGAACUGUCAAACUUUAGGGAGGGUCAUGUUUUUUUUGCUUUUUUCCGAGAGAGAAUGUUUGUUUCGGUGAUUUUUUUUUUUGGUUUUUUAACUAAUUCCUCUACUUUUAUGUAUCACAUAAAUAAUUUUUUUAACUUAGAGGUAAAAAAAAACUAAAAUAUCAGUAA